RNAcentral lists this transfer RNA (75 nucleotides) under Methanosarcina thermophila MST-A1. Its description in RNAcentral is "tRNA-Asp". It matches the Rfam family "tRNA". From Rfam's summary of the family: Transfer RNA (tRNA) molecules are approximately 80 nucleotides in length. The record is from RNAcentral. Lineage: Archaea; Methanobacteriati; Methanobacteriota; Methanomicrobia; Methanosarcinales; Methanosarcinaceae.
UGUCCGGAUAGUGUAGGGGCCUAUCAUGGAGCCCUGUCGAGGCUCCGACUCGGGUUCGAAUCCCGGUCCGGACGU